This 759-nucleotide ribosomal RNA is filed under the name uncultured bacterium. RNAcentral describes it as "bacterial SSU rRNA". It matches the Rfam family "Bacterial small subunit ribosomal RNA", at positions 8 to 796 of the family's 1533-position model. The record is from RNAcentral.
AGAGUUUGAUCCUGGCUCAGGACGAACGCUGGCGGCGUGCUCAAUACAUGCAAGUCGAGCGAGAGUAGCAAUACUCGAGCGGCGGACGGGUGAGUAACGCGUGGGCAAUCUGCCCUCUAGCCCGGGAUAACAGUUCGAAAGGACUGCUAACACCGGAUAUGCUCCCACCCUGGCAUCAGGGAGAGAGAAAAGUUUACACUAGAGGAUGAGCCCGCGUCCCAUUAGCUAGUUGGUGAGGUAACGGCCCACCAAGGCGACGAUGGGUAGCCGACCUGAGAGGGUGGACGGCCACACUGGGACUGAGACACGGCCCAGACUCCUACGGGAGGCAGCAGUAGGGAAUUUUCCGCAAUGGGCGAAAGCCUGACGGAGCAACGCCGCGUGAGGGAUGAAGGUUUUCGGAUCGUAAACCUCUGUCUUCAGGGACGAUAAUGACGGUACCUGAGGAGGAAGCCACGGCUAACUACGUGCCAGCAGCCGCGGUAAUACGUAGGUAGCAAGCGUUGUCCGGAAUUACUGGGCGUAAAGGGCGUGUAGGCGGCCUUUUAAGUCAGGCGUGAAAUCCAUGGGCUUAGCCCAUGAAUUGCGUUUGAAACUGGAGGGCUUGAGGAUCGGAGAGGGCAGUGGAAUUCCCAGUGUAGCGGUGAAAUGCGUAGAUAUUGGGAGGAACACCAGUGGCGAAGGCGACUGCCUGGACGACACCUGACGCUGAGGCGCGAAAGCUAGGGGAGCAAACGGGAUUAGAUACCCUGGUAGUCC